This 256-nucleotide ribosomal RNA is filed under the name uncultured prokaryote. Its description in RNAcentral is "partial 16S ribosomal RNA". It matches the Rfam family "Bacterial small subunit ribosomal RNA", at positions 526 to 780 of the family's 1533-position model. The record is from RNAcentral.
CGUAGGGUGCGAGCGUUGUCCGGAAUUACUGGGCGUAAAGAGCUCGUAGGUGGUUUGUCACGUCGUCUGUGAAAUUCCGGGGCUUAACCUCGGGCGUGCAGGCGAUACGGACAAUACUUGAGUGCUGUAGGGGAGACUGGAAUUCCUGGUGUAGUGGUGAAAUGCGCAGAUAUCAGGAGGAACACCAAUGGCGAAGGCAGGUCUCUGGGCAGUCACUGACGCUGAGGAGCGAAAGCAUGGGUAGCGAACAGGAUUA